Long non-coding RNA from Ictalurus punctatus (channel catfish), 923 nucleotides. NCBI's taxonomy places the organism in Eukaryota, Metazoa, Chordata, Actinopteri, Siluriformes, Ictaluridae. The record is from Ensembl.
UGUACGUCAGUAAAGAAAGUGGUGUAUUAAGAGGUAAGAGACACUCUUCAGACAAAAAAAAAACAACAAAAAAACAAACCUAAUGAAUUUCUGGAUUUUGCUGCAGAAAUAAGAAGCGACCCCGACAGUCAAAGUCUCCGGAAGAACCGUGUCUGGUUCUAAGAUGCUCGAUAAAACUUACCGCUCAUUUCCUUAUAAAACUGCACUCAUUCUACCUGAGAUGACUUUAUUUAUUUAUUUUUUCCAAGCAAAUGGUCAUCACACCAAAUAUAGCCUUGGUUUCAUUUACCUGCUCUUUAUAGUAUUUUUUUAAAUGUAGAAACAUUUAACUUUUCAUUAUAUUUGAAGGCAUCGUUGCUCUACAGCAUCUCUUUGCGUGCGCUUUAAACUUUUGCACAGUACCGUACAUCAGGUCCAUUUUUAUAAUCUGAAACAUUUGAAGAACGAGUUUCUAUGUGGAUCUUCUGAUCGCCCUGCAUUCUUUCAGGAUGAUCACGCAGGGACGACAGAGUGAGGGCAAAACACAAACCCGAAACCUGAAGGUAUUUGUCUUGUGGUUCAGGAAACGGGUUUGACCAGAACAAAGGAGGUUGUGUACUGAACCACACCCUCUGGCUUCAAAAACUACGGAGAGGCAAAAGGUGCUGUUGGGAUACUCUACGGAUUGACAUACUUUAUAUAUGAACUUUGCCUUCUCUGGAUAUUAUCUCUAUAUACUAUUAAUUCCGGUAUCAAUAUACGAUUACCUUAAGCACACUAUCCAGCAGUCUUCUAUGGAUGACCGUGGCGGCGUGGAUUGCUCCGUAAGCAAACAGGAAAGCACGAGCAGCGGUGAAGACGGUAUUGGCUACAGCUAGAGAACCGUACACAGUCAUGUAGAACUUCAGCUCUGAGCUCAUAUUGCCAAACGAGUCUCUGACUGG